UAAUAAGAUAAGAUAGAGUUGGACACGGGAUUUCACAAUCCCAACAGAAUAGUCUAUGAUUUCUACUGGUGCAAGUAUGGUUCUUAAUCACGCUUCUCUAGUUGGCAUUUCAUUGAAAAGCCUGCAAAUCUGCUAGCUAGUGAAGUUUGCUUGAUCAGAGUUUCAAUGCCCCAUAGUGUUUUAGUACUGAAGCUGUUACACGGAUGAUGAAUGGAGGAACUCUAUAAACACAUGUCGAAAAUUGGUGCAGAUGAUGAGUGUUUGGUUGGUGACUGAAAGAAAUGUAUAAUCUAUGGAUAGUGUUAGUUGCUUUGACUUUUUGAAUCUAUUGACAGAGGGUUAGGUUUUGCUACUUAAGCUAUGCAU
This 366-nucleotide long non-coding RNA is filed under the name Brassica napus (rape). RNAcentral's name for it is "long non-coding RNA (BNAP_LNC002986)". Lineage: Eukaryota; Viridiplantae; Streptophyta; Magnoliopsida; Brassicales; Brassicaceae. The record is from RNAcentral.